CUCAGUUUUCUUUCUGCUUUGCUUUUCUUUUCUUUUUUUUGUCUCUCUUUUUUUAAUGAAGAGUUUUCUGGAACUGCAAAGCUAAAAGGGGAGAAGGUGGGAAGGCCAUCUGAUCCCUUUCUAAACCCUUCCCUCUGUCUCUCCCCUUGGUCAGCACUGCAACAAUGACUCUUGAGGUGAUGUCCUACCCCCAUGCCAAGCCUGUGCCUCAUUACCCAAGCCUUGGAAAGCAGCAGUGAGCUGUUGGGCAGGCCUGGGAAGUAGUGUUGUCUGGACCCCUUUGCUGUGCCCUGUACCCAAACUAGACCAGCACUGAACUUGCUGCACAGGAGCUCUUAUUGUGGGAUUAUCAUUGUGGGAUCUGAAGUAGAGAUGUUGGAUGGCACCACCCGCUUUCAUCAUUUGUGGAGGGUGUCAGGAUGCAUGGCUUUCCCUUUCUUUCUGAAGGGACAGUGCACCUUUCUCUGGAAUCUCUUGGGCCUGUGAAGAGCCACCAGGAAAGCAGUUGGUGCCCUCAGCAGCCUGCCCUCCUCUCCUUCAUCUUGGUGUUUGUUAGGGCAGAGAGAAAGCAGACAGCCUUGAGGUACCUGCAGAGCCUUUUGGUCUUACCCUGAGGAUAGAAUCAUAGAAUGGUUAGGGUCCUUUCCAACCCAAACCAUUCCAUGAUUCCAUGACUUGAAAAAUCGGUGUCAGAGAAAGGAAUAGACUCAGGUCUCCUCACUCUAUUUCCUUAUGUUGUGGGGCCUCCUGAGGUGCUGGAUUCACAUGGGGUCUGUAAGGCAACUGGGGCAUCAGGUUUGGCCACUGACCUCAGCAAUUCCAAAGGCUGCAGAUACCAAAAGGGGAUCAGUGGCUGAGCUGGGCUGUGUUUCUCAGUCCCUGCUGGAUCUGCAACUAUGCCAGAGCAAAGGCAGCCUGAGAAAUCUCCCCAAGGAGAAGGACAUAUGGCAUGCUUACAGAGUUACUGUACCACUGCUACAGUCGUCUGGAUGCAGUGGUCUCCGGAGGCUCCUGGCUUUGUCUCUGCUGGAGCAAACUGGGAUGUUGCUCUAUUGCAUCUAAUUCUUUUAGCUUGUCCUGCACUGAAUUUUCUUACCAGAGCAGCCUGCUCUUCUGGAAGAUGAUAAAAGGCAUUUUAUUUAACCCUGUGGCAUGUAUCAGUCCUCCCACACUGUCCACCAAGUAAGCUGUGCUGAGUGAUUUGCAGCCAGGCAGAACAAAUUCAGCUUCUCAGUUACUUCCAAAAUCACCCCUCACCCCAGACAGCACACAAGCCAUAGUUCACAGGUUUUUCAGAGGCUGCUGCUAACCACUUAGUACUCAGGGGCCUGGAGUUAAAGGUCUUUCAAGGCCUGUCUCCAUCCUGAGGACACUGUUGUUCAGCUGUUUGGCUUCCUUCUCCUCCUUUGGGCGGUUGCUGGAGGGGAUGGAGGUAAUGGCCAGGACCAGAGGCAGAGCGACAAGCUCAUCAGCAGAAAGGUUUGCAAGGGGAAGCAGAAGAGAACAAACAGGAGGGAGAAUGGUCCAAAAGCCAAGGGGAGAAGAGGUGUGAGCACCCCAAGGACAGAGGGAGGGCACUGUUGUUUCACCACGUUGUGUGCAGACCUUAGAGUGUCAGUUCUCAGAGUGAUGUAGCACAAUUCCCAAUGUACAUGUGUUACUUUUGUAAGUCGUCUCCUGCCCUCACUAUUUUCAGUGUUUCUUGAUUUUUGGAGACUGUUGUAAAUAAAAGAUUUUGACAUUC
RNAcentral lists this long non-coding RNA (1744 nucleotides) under Strigops habroptila (Kakapo). Its description in RNAcentral is "lncRNA (ENSSHBG00005007979.1)". Lineage: Eukaryota; Metazoa; Chordata; Aves; Psittaciformes; Psittacidae. The record is from RNAcentral.